Molecule: long non-coding RNA, 1777 nt
Organism: Ictalurus punctatus (channel catfish)
Lineage: Eukaryota; Metazoa; Chordata; Actinopteri; Siluriformes; Ictaluridae
Source: Ensembl
UCUGUUUAGCGUUAUACCAAUCACACUCCCACAUUGCCUCAACAUCCAGACCAUACGCUUUUUAUAAUAUUUCGACUUUGUCAUCAAAUUGUCUUCCGAGCAAGCCGUAGGGCACUUUUGAUAACGGAUGUAAAUGGUUGGGAUUACAUGCCUGCCAAUCAUGCCCGUGAAACAUACAACCAUUGAAUUCGUAUCGUUGGGGAUGAAGCGAGUUCUCUAUCUCACCAGGAGGAAAUGAACGAGGAUGCAGAUGAAGAUAAGGCAUAAUCAGCUGAUACAUCUGGUACUCAAGAGGAAAGCUUUUCAGCCACAGCACCAGAUGUCGACCCACCCAGGACACAAGGUUACUCUCGAAGAAAGAAAUCUGCGAGAUGCACUGUGAUCUCUCAGCAUCAGCAGUUCAUGAUACAGAUGAUGAGGCAAUAAAAUUAAUGGGUUCAAGACCAAAUCCAGCAAUCCGAGCAAAGGGAGGAGAGACUCCUUAGUGCUUUAAUUGAGAGCAAUGUCCGUUCCACCGAGCACAUUAUAUCAAUACUUGUUGAGGGAUUCCAAAGCACCCACAUCCAAUGUUUGCACCUCCUUCACUGCACCCCCCCACACUUUCAAGGGUAUCACACACAGCCAUCUAACUAUACCCUGCAUGGUUCUACUGUGUCAAACACAUCCACUGCUGAACAUGGGUCAGAAGAAGCAAAUGAAUAUGCUCGAUCAUAUACUCACCUGUGAGCAGCCUGCCAUUAGGUAGCAGAAAACCUGCUUAUGUAAAAUACUUUGUGAAUGCCUGUAUUGACUUGAGUUUAGAUGUGUUUGCCUACCUCAUAUUUGCCUGUGUUACAGGAAAGAAUGUGCCUUGUCUUUUGUUAUAUAAAUUUGUUAGUAAGUGAAACCUUUCAUUUUUUGAAAAAAAAUAACUAAAUAAAAAAAUUUAAAAAAUUCAUCCAUCCAGUUUCUGUCCAUCCUACAGGGUCAUGAGAUACCUGGAGCCAACCUAAGGGAGCAUGGGGCACAAGGCAGGGUACACCCUGGAUGGGGUUGAAAUGUUUUUUUUUAAUUAAACCUCUAUUUUUUGUAAAGUAAUAUUUACCAUAAGUGAGCAGAACUUGAAGAGGUCCCUUUCUUAUUAUCCUUUUUGUUGUGUCCUUUUUUGCACUUCAAACCUGUGUGCAGUGUUCCUGGAAUUAAGGCAUACAAAACCCAACAGAAACUUAAAGAAAUUGCCUAGUUCACAUUAAAAUAAAAAGUGCAGCACUUCUUCAUAAAAUAACUUCUUGAAUGCAGUUAACAUCACAGACUGGAGAUAAUAACGUUGAACAAAUACUAAGAAGUGUGACUUUCCAAGCUCCUCAAAGCAAGCAAAUAUGCUGAAUGUUAACCACUUGUGCCUAAUGUAUACUCCUCCAAAGGGGAAAUGUUGCUGCCAUGUAUGGUGAUAAUGCAUCUCUCAUGACAUAAGCAUCUGUGCUGGUUCUGUGGUGCACUGUGGGGCUGGGGUAAGGCUCUCUCCAUAACUGUUGCCUCCUCCAUCCAGCAUUGGGGGACCUUCUCCUUUUCUCGUUCACAAAAAUUGUGCAGUGCACAACAUGUAAUCAUGCAAGGUGAGAAAGUGAAGUGAAAAUAUCACUGCAUUUCAGGAGCACCCUCCACCUAGACUUCAGUCUCUCAAAAGCAAUCUCCACUGUUGUUCUUGUUGAGCUGAGGUGAACAUUGAACGACUCUUGUUCAGGUGUUAGGCCUAGAGACUGUGGGUAACACUUCAUCAGUCAGUCCAUGAGUGGAU